UAACAAAAACAUAACUGUAUGAGAUACUAUGCAGCUUUUUCUGCUCCAUGAUAUGUUAAAUAGCCGCAGUACCCUGACUGUGCAAAGGUAGCAUAAUCAAUUGGCUUUUAAUUAAAGUCUGGUAUGAAUGAACGUAUGGGUAAUGACUGUCUAAGGAAUGUUAAUUCAAAAUUAUCAAGUUGGUGCAAAUGCCAACAGGCUUAAAAAAGACGAGAAGACCCUAGAAACUUAUAGUUGAUUUUGCUGGGGCGGCAGAAUUGCAUAUAACCAAUUUUAAUUUACGUGAAGCGACGCAGAAAGAAAAAGUUACUCUAGGGAUAACAGCAUAAUUUUAAUAGUUUGUGACCUCGAUGUUGGACUAGGGAUGUUACCUUCUAGAAGAAGGUAAUUAUGGCUCUGUUCGAGCCCUUAGCCCCUACGUGAUCUGAG
Molecule: ribosomal RNA, 429 nt
Filed under: Codringtonia elisabethae
Lineage: Eukaryota; Metazoa; Mollusca; Gastropoda; Stylommatophora; Helicidae
Description: LSU rRNA
Rfam family: Bacterial large subunit ribosomal RNA
Source: RNAcentral